This 253-nucleotide ribosomal RNA is filed under the name uncultured bacterium. Its description in RNAcentral is "partial 16S ribosomal RNA". It matches the Rfam family "Bacterial small subunit ribosomal RNA", at positions 524 to 776 of the family's 1533-position model. The record is from RNAcentral.
UACGGGGGGGGCAAGCGUUGUUCGGAAUUACUGGGCGUAAAGGGCUCGUAGGCGGCCAACUAAGUCAGACGUGAAAUCCCUCGGCUUAACCGGGGAACUGCGUCUGAUACUGGAUGGCUUGAAUCCGGGAGAGGGAUGCGGAAUUCCAGGUGUAGCGGUGAAAUGCGUAGAUAUCGUAAGGAAGACCAGUGGCGAAGGCGGGUCUCUGGACAGUUCCUGACGCUGAGGCACGAAGGUCAGGGGAGCAAACGGG